This 70-nucleotide transfer RNA is filed under the name Camelus ferus (Wild Bactrian camel). It matches the Rfam family "tRNA". Rfam says of the family: Transfer RNA (tRNA) molecules are approximately 80 nucleotides in length. Their secondary structure includes four short double-helical elements and three loops (D, anti-codon, and T loops). Lineage: Eukaryota; Metazoa; Chordata; Mammalia; Artiodactyla; Camelidae. The record is from Rfam by way of RNAcentral.
GAAGGUAUAGCUCAGUGGUAAUGUGUGCUUAGCAUGCACGAGGUCCUGAGUUCAAUCCCCAGUACCUCCA